GACGAACGCUGGCGGCGUGCUUAACACAUGCAAGUCGAACGGAAAGGCCCUGCUUUUGUGGGGUGCUCGAGUGGCGAACGGGUGAGUAACACGUGAGUAACCUGCCCUUGACUUUGGGAUAACUUCAGGAAACUGGGGCUAUUAUCGGAUAGGAGCUCCUGCUGCACGGGGGGGGUUGGAAAGUUUCGGCGGUUGGGGAUGGACUCGCGGCUUAUCAGCUUGUUGGUGGGGUAGUGGCUUACCAAGGCUUUGACGGGUAGCCGGCCUGAGAGGGUGACCGGCCACAUUGGGACUGAGGUACGGCCCAGACUCCUACGGGAGGCAACAGUGGGGAAUAUUGCACAAUGGGCGGAAGCGUGAUGCAGCAACGCCGCGAGCGGGAAGACGGGCUUCGGGUUGUAAACCGCUUUCGCCUGUGACGAAGCGUGAGUGACGGUAAUGGGUAAAGAAGCACCGGCUAACUACGUG
RNAcentral lists this ribosomal RNA (468 nucleotides) under uncultured bacterium. RNAcentral's name for it is "partial 16S ribosomal RNA". It matches the Rfam family "Bacterial small subunit ribosomal RNA", at positions 28 to 507 of the family's 1533-position model. The record is from RNAcentral.